GACGAACGCUGGCGGCGUGCUUAACACAUGCCAGUCGAACGGAAAGGCCCUGCUUUUGUGGGGUGCUCGAGUGGCGAACGGGUGAGUAACACGUGAGUAACCUGCCCUUGACUUUGGGAUAACUUCAGGAAACUGGGGCUAAUACCGGAUAGGAGCUCCUGCUGCAUGGUGGGGGUUGGAAAGUUUCGGCGGUUGGGGAUGGACUCGCGGCUUAUCAGCUUAUUGGUGGGGUAGUGGCUUACCAAGGCUUUGACGGGUAGCCGGCCUGAGAGGGUGACCGGCCACAUUGGGACUGAGAUACGGCCCAGACUCCUACGGGAGGCAGCAGUGGGGAAUAUUGCACAAUGGGCGGAAGCCUGAUGCAGCAACGCCGCGUGCGGGAUGACGGCCUUCGGGUUGUAAACCGCUUUCGCCUGUGACGAAGCGUGAGUGACGGUAAUGGGUAAAGAAGCACCGGCUAACUACGUG
This 468-nucleotide ribosomal RNA is filed under the name uncultured bacterium. RNAcentral's name for it is "partial 16S ribosomal RNA". It matches the Rfam family "Bacterial small subunit ribosomal RNA", at positions 28 to 507 of the family's 1533-position model. The record is from RNAcentral.